Molecule: non-coding RNA, 1335 nt
Organism: Manis javanica (Malayan pangolin)
Lineage: Eukaryota; Metazoa; Chordata; Mammalia; Pholidota; Manidae
Source: RefSeq, a predicted model, not a curated record
AACCCCAGCUGGGGAGACACAGGACCCUCUCCCGAGGACUCUCCCGCUCGCAAGCACCCCUGAGUGAAGUGCACGCACGCCCUCCCACUGUCAGGCGUUCACUGUCAGACGCUCACACGCACACCCACUUUCGGAUCCUUGCGCCCCUGCCUCCCUAGGUCCCGACGCCUCUGGCCUGGCAGAGGACGUGUCAUUCCUUGCCCCCGCAGCCGCGAGGCAGGCGGCAAUGGUGGAUGCUCAGUCCGGGACAGGCAGGGGCAGCUGGUGUCUGGGGAGGAAGGCAGCUGCGCCUCUGAUCUCAGCCUGCCCCCUCCUCCCCUCCCCGUUCUCCCCCUAGGACCCCCAGCCCAGGCUCCCCGGGGCCAUCCUGGGCGGUGGAAUUCCCCCAGCGAUGCCCCCCCACAUGGCGGGGGAGAGGGAGGGGAGCAGGCCCAGGCAGGCGUGGGGGGAAAUUCCCCACCCCCCGUCCCCUGGGCCCGACUCCUCCGAGUCCUCUGAUCUCCCAGCGCCGCCCGCCGGCUGCCCCCAGGGCUUGGGGGGAGGCCAGCGCAGGUGCGUGGGAGGGCGGGGGCGGGGGCCCAGGGAGGAGAUGGGUGGUGGCUGGGAGCCCAGAGCGCCCUGCCAUGCGCAGAUCCCUUGCCCCCCAGUCUAGUCUCCCUGCCCCUCACUAGACUCCCAUUAGGCUAUGACCUGUCCCUUCCCUGUUAGUGCGCCCUUGUCCCCCCCAGAUGGGAUGCGCAGGGAGAAUUCUAGAAAGACCAAGGUGCCCGUGGCCAGUGAAGGCACCACGGAGACCCCGCGGUUACUGCUUCACGCUGAGGCUCUCGGGUGGGGGGACAGGGAGGGGGUUGUGCUCAGGGGCUUGAGGCCAGCACCUGGGUCGCCUUCUCAGGGAGCCCUCCCAGCGGCCAACCUGGCCUGUGUUCACCUCCCAGUUUCUGGGCCCUCUGAGCACUGGACUGGGAAUCUCACGUGCACAUGCUAGCCCAGUGCCAGCGACCCUGCUAAUGACUGCCCUAAAGAGCGAGCAGCGGAUGGCCAGCCACCCAUCAACCACACCCCUUCCUCACUGUCCCCACUCCCCCGCCAGCGUGGAGUUGCUGCCAGGGCCCAGUGGUGUCAUCCCCACUCCUCCAGCUCCCCGCGAACAGCUGGUCUGGCAUACAAUAGCCUAGGUUCCUCUUUCCACCAAGUGGAUGGAGGGGAUGCCAUGGCCUAGAAGGUGGAAGGAGCUGGAUUCCUGAAUGACCUUGUGGAAGGUUCCUGCCAACCAGAAGUAUCAGCGUGGGACCCUGCAGGAAUGAGGAAUAAACAUCUAUUGCGUUAAGCCAUUGA